UAUUGGAGAAACGUUUGCUUCAGCCCAAUGCUUUUAUAAAUGGUCAAAAUUCAGAGGCUUCCUUCUCCUGCAUUUUGAAAGCUAUUAUGAUGAAAUUUGCCAGAAUGGAAGCAAAAAUUAAGUACUCUUAGCCUAUUAAGUUUCAUAAUGUUUGACCCAUCCACUGAUUUUUGGGGAUUUCUGAAGCAACAUUUUUUUAAAAUGUUAGCAGAUUGAUAGCCACGCCUCCCUGUCCUUCUUCCUUCCACUUUGAUUGGCUUGCUAAGGCUUCUGGGAAAUGGAGUUUUUUCUCUCGUUAUGGCGAAUUGCUUCAUUUCCACUUAAAAGAAUGGUCAAUAUUCAGAGGCUUCGUUCUCCUGCAUUUUGAAAGCUAUUAUGAUGAAAUUUGCCAGAAUGGAAGCAAAAAUUAAGUACUCUUAGCCUAUCAAGUUUCAUAAUGUUUGACCCAUCCACUGAUUUUUGGGGAUUUCUGAAGCAACAUUUUUUUUUAAAUGCUAGCAGAUCGAUGGCCAUGCCUCUCCCUCCCUCCCUCUUCCGCUCUGAUUGGCUGAGAGGCAUGCCAACAUGGCUUCUCCUCUCAGAGGGGCUACAGCUGCAUCCGAAGACAUCAGAAACAAACGAAAAAAGUUCUUCUGUGUUUUCUGUAUGGUGAAAAUUCACUAAAAGCAACCAGCAACCAAAAGGAAUAAUAUCAGCCUUUGCAGGCGCAGAGAAACACUGCGAAGAUGGGAGAUGAUGGCAACAAUUCUGUCAAAACAUAAUUCAAGGGGCCAGAAAAGUAGCAGGAGAAUGACUGUCAGGAGGAGGAGGUGGACAAAAUAAAAUAAAAACCAUCCUAGUUUGCUCCUCAUGAAAGAAAACUUCAGUCUGCUUCACAUCAUCUCCUUGAGAGUAUUAAAAAGAAAAACUAGGCCAUCCUAUACAGAGUGCAUUAUCUCUGGAAAUCUUGUAUUCAGAAGAUGGGAGCAGAAAGUUCAUAAAUAACAGUGCCAAAAAAGAGAAAGGGGAGAGAAAGAGAGAGAAAAGAAAAGGAGAAGGGGGGUAGAAGGAGUGGAUGUGUAUCCAACAGCAUUUGGAUGGCAUCCAAGUCAUCAAUGCUGCUGUCAUCUUCUGCGCAUAAUCAGAAAUCCCUUUCAGUGAUGUGGGAAAAAGA
This 1153-nucleotide long non-coding RNA is filed under the name Anolis carolinensis (green anole). RNAcentral describes it as "lncRNA (ENSACAG00000038113.1)". The record is from RNAcentral. Lineage: Eukaryota; Metazoa; Chordata; Lepidosauria; Squamata; Anolidae.